Molecule: RNA transcript, 4391 nt
Organism: Lepus europaeus (European hare)
Lineage: Eukaryota; Metazoa; Chordata; Mammalia; Lagomorpha; Leporidae
Gene: CEP128
Gene name: centrosomal protein 128
Exons: 26
Source: RefSeq, a predicted model, not a curated record
CAUAGCGGCGAGUCUGGGGAGGGUAGAGUCGGUUGCGCCGCUGUGUUUGGUCAGUUGCACCUUCUAGGUCACUGGAAGCGGCGGGAACUGGGUAGGGCCUCGGCGAUGAAAGGGCGUUAAGGACCCGGAGUCAGCCCCUGUCUCAGGACUUAUGUACAUCAAUGGCAGAAUCGUCCAGUGAUUCAGACCGCUUCCACUGUCGUGACCGAUUGAGUCGAUGGGCUGCCAGGUCAACUCACAGGGGAAUUCGAAGUCAUCCUGCAGUAGACGUCACCGAGAAGGUCAACACUAUCACCAGUACUUUACAGGACACCAGUCGAAACCUGAGACAAGUGGACCAGAUGCUUGGACGAUACCGAGAAUAUAGUAAUGGACAGGCUGGUGCUAUAGAACAAUUAAAAGAAAGCUUGGAACAUUCAGUAGGUCAACUACGGAGUCAGCGUUUAUUGAGAAACUCAGGAGCAAGAAGUAUUUCUGUUACAAGUCUGAGUGCCAGUGACUUUGAUGGUGACACUGUGACAGGAAGAGUUACAGACAGUGAGAGACAGAGAGAAAGGUCUUCCUUCCGUUGGUUCACGCCUCAGAUGGCCACAGUGGCCGGAGCUGCGCCGAUCCGAAGCCAGGAACAAGAUGCCUCUUCCUGGUCUCCCCAUGCAGAAAGCCACCACAUUCCACCUACCUCACCUCUCAAGGACUAUGGGGAUUCCCAGGGCAUUAAACGAAUUAGGUCCAAAACUGGUGUCCGGUUUGUUCAGGAGGCUGAAGAUGUGGCCCAGCUUCAUGCUUUUCAUCAGUCCCUCCGAGACCUCAGCAGUGAACAGAUUCGCCUUGGAGAGGAUUUCAACAGGGAACUUUCCAGAAGAAGCCGGUCAGAUGCUGAAACAAAAAGGGUUUUGGAAGAAUUGACUGAAAAACUUAAUGAAGCCCAGAAACAAGAAGUGGUUUCAGAUCGGGUGGAGCGGAGGCUUCGGGAAAUAGAAAGAGAGAUGCGCACAGAAAGAGAGCUGGUGGAAAGGCGUCAGGAUCAACUGGGUCUUAUGUCCUUGCAGCUACAGGAGGCCCUGAAGAAACAAGAAGUUAAAGCAGAUGAGAAUGAGGGUGUAAUCAAAAAUAAGCUAAGACAAACUGAAAAUGAGAAGAGUCAACUGGAACAGGAAUUGGAGCUAUCUCGAAGGUUACUGAAUCAGUCAGAAGGCAACAGAGAAACACUUCUGCAUCAGGUACAAGAACUGCGAACACAACUAACAAAAGCAGAAGGUGAUCGAAAGGGUCUACAACUUCAAGCAUCUCCAAUUACCAGGCAACAGUCAAACCAUCAGGAUGAACAAGGGGAUGACUGGAAGUUUAGAAGAGGGGUAGAGCGGGAAAAACAGGAUCUGGAGAAGCAGAUGACAGAUUUGAGAGUGCAACUGAACUUCAGUACAAUGGCAUCCGAAUUAGAGGAAGUAAAGCGGUGCAUGGAGCGUAAAGACAAGGAGAAAGCACAUUUGUCAGCACAAAUACAGAAUUUAACACAUGAAUUGGAGAGCAGAGAAAAACAACAGCUGCACAUGUUGGAUCAACUAAAGGAGAUCCAGAAUCACUUUGAGACGUGUGAGGCCGAACGCAAGCGCGCUGACCUCCAGAUCUCAGAACUGACGCACCACGCAGAGGAUGCCACCAAGCAGGCCGAGCGGUACCUCAGUGAGUUGCAACGGUCGGAGGCCCUGAGAGAGGAGGCGGAGAAGAGGCGAGAAGACCUGAAACUGAAAGCUCAAGAAUCCAUUAGGCAGUGGAAGCUUAAGCAUAAGAAAUUAGAGCGAGCAUUGGAGAAACAGUCUGAAACUCUUGAUGAACUGACAGAAAAGAACAAUCAGAUUCUGAAAGAAAAGGAUGAAUUGAAAAACCAGCUUUAUGCAGCAUUACAACAAAUAGAGAGUCUUAGAAAGGAGUUGAAUGACGUCUUAACCAAGCGUGCCCUUCAAGAGGAGGAGCUUCACUCUAAGGAAAAGAAACUGAGUGAUGUUAAGUCUCAUCAAACUGAACUUGAGCUAGAAGUCAAGAAUUCCCUGGAUAACAUCCAUAGACUGGAAAGUGAAUUGAAAAAGCAUAGUAAGAUUCAAAGCCAGAUGAAAGUUGAGAAAGCUCACCUGGAGGAAGAAAUCACAGAGCUAAGAAAGAGCCAGGCUCAGGACAAAGCUAAGCUUCUUGAGAUGCAAGAGUCCAUUAAGGACUUGAGUGCAAUUCGAGCAGAUCUUGCUAAUAGAUUGGCUGAGGAAGAGCGAGCCAAGAAAGCGGUCCUCAAGGACCUUGCUGACCUCACAACACAGGCAAAGUCCAAGGAUGAAGAGACAGCGACAGUCAUCACACAAUUAAAGCUGGAGCGAGAUGUUCACCAGAGGGAGCUGGAAGAUCUCACAUCCUCAUUGCAGAGUGUGAAAACGAAGCAUGAACAGAAUAUCCAGGAGCUGAUGAAGCACUUUAAGAAAGAAAAGACUGAAGCUGAGAAUCACAUUAGGACCUUGAAGGCCGAAAGUGUAGAAGAUAAGAAUAUAGCUAAAGUCCAUCGUUGUCAGCUAGAGAAGCUGAAGUCACAGUGUGAGAGACUGACAGAGGAGUUAAGCCAGAAUGAAAAUGAGAACAAAAAGUUGAAGCUAAAAUAUCAGUGUUUGAAGGACCAGCUAGAAGAAAAGGAGAAACAUAUAAGCAAAGAAGAAGAGCACUUAAGAAGAAUGGAAGAGGCCAGACUGCAGCUCAAGGAUCAACUGCUUUGUCUGGAGACUGAACAGGAAUCCAUUCUUGGGGUGAUAGGGAAGGAAAUUGAUGCAGCUUGCAAAACAUUCUCUAGGGACUCCAUGGAAAAAUUGAAAGUUUUUUCAUCUAGUCCUGAUGUACAUUAUGACCCACAUCGCUGGUUAGCAGAAAGCAAGACUAAACUUCAGUGGCUCUGUGAAGAACUGAAAGAAAGAGAAAACAGAGAGAAAAAUCUGCGACACCAGCUGAUGCUCUGCAGACAACAACUCAGGGACCUGACUGUCAACAAGGAAUCUGAGCUCCAGUGCCUCUUUGAACAGAUAGAAAGGCAGGAGCAGCUGCUGGAAGAAAUCCAUCAGGAGAAGAGAGAUCUGCUACAAGAGACCCAAAGGAAAAAUGAAGAAAUGGAAUCUCUGCAGGACCGUGUAAAUGUAUUAGAAACGAGUACCCGAGUGGCCUUGGACCAUCUGGAGUCUGUGCCUGAGAAACUGAGCCUCCUAGAAGAUUUCAAAGACUUCAGAGAUUCCUGCAGUUCAUCUGAGAGAAUUGAUGGAAGAUACUCUAAAUCCAUGUCUCCCCGACAUUCUCUUCAGCAGCGCCAAGAUGACAGCAAGUACAGAAUCAAAAGCUUCAAAGGUGACAGAAGCUUUACUGAAGGUCCCCACACUUAUGGCUUAGAUCUCUCAUCCUCCUGGAGAGAUCACAGUCGCUUCCUGUCUAGUCCACGAUUUUCACACUUGAACUCAUUUACUAAAAGAACUGUUGCUCCAGAUUCAGCUUCAAUCAAGGAAGACGCCACAAGUUUACCAAUGAGUGGAACCAGUCCACAAUUGAAGGAAGAAUAUGAAAGCAAAAAAAGCAAAAUGUAACUAGUUAUUUCACAUGAGUGUUUCCAAAUAAUAAUCACAUAUGUGUCCUUGCUGUGAUUGGCCCAGACUGUUUAACAGACAUACCUGUUGCUCUGGCUCUUUGAUAUUGCCAAAUAUUAGUGCAAAUGACAAUACAGUUGGUCUUCAUGAAUGAUGUAACUUAAACCAACCCAAAUAAUACCAGGUCAUAAGUGAUGUGCAGCUAUUUAUUGGCAACUUUGGCCAGCAGAGAAAGAGUAAUAUUUUUCACUUUGCAUUUUCCUUUUUCAAGUGUGGUCAGUCACAUUUUCCUGACCAAAAUUUGGGUUUGUAAUUGAGGCCUUUCAGAAAUUGCAGGCUAAAAAGGAGGAAAAUUAGUUCCCCUUGAGGCAAAAGUUGCCAGCAUUUUAGAUUCAGGGACCAUUUGUAUACAGCUGAUUAUUUUAAAGAAUGCUUUCUCCCUAAUAAAUUAUCAAGUGUUAUAACAUGUCAUGGAGAUAUGCAUAUAUCAUAUUAGUCUGCUUUAUAAGUGUUCAGAAUUGUAUACAGAAUCUCGGCAGUUUAUUACUACUUGUAGUUUCUUAUUUCCAAUCAUCCAUUUUUAUUAGCAAUAAAGAAUUUAUAAAUGAUACCAAAUUGUAGAGCAUUAAAGCAUUCAUAUCACAGUUUAUUUGUCUUACUACAGCCAAAUGUCCCACGGUGAUCAUUUGACUCAUACCCUGGAAUAUCUUUGGUUUACUGUGACCAAAACCACAGCACAAAACUUGUGUCACUGGGAUUGAGUCUGCAAGCGUUCUCACAUAAUUUGGC